This 429-nucleotide ribosomal RNA is filed under the name Chloroflexota bacterium. Its description in RNAcentral is "Chloroflexi bacterium partial 16S ribosomal RNA". It matches the Rfam family "Bacterial small subunit ribosomal RNA", at positions 355 to 776 of the family's 1533-position model. Lineage: Bacteria; Bacillati; Chloroflexota. The record is from RNAcentral.
UAGGGAAUCUUCGGCAAUGGACGAAAGUCUGACCGAGCAACGCCGCGUGAGUGAAGAAGGUUUUCGGAUCGUAAAACUCUGUUGUUAGAGAAGAACAAGGACGUUAGUAACUGAACGUCCCCUGACGGUAUCUAACCAGAAAGCCACGGCUAACUACGUGCCAGCAGCCGCGGUAAUACGUAGGUGGCAAGCGUUGUCCGGAUUUAUUGGGCGUAAAGCGAGCGCAGGCGGUUUCUUAAGUCUGAUGUGAAAGCCCCCGGCUCAACCGGGGAGGGUCCUUGGAAACUGGGAGACUUGAGUGCAGAAGAGGAGAGUGGAAUUCCAUGUGUAGCGGUGAAAUGCGUAGAUAUAUGGAGGAACACCAGUGGCGAAGGCGGCGCUCUGGUCUGUAACUGACGCUGAGGCUCGAAAGCGUGGGGAGCAAACAGG